This 121-nucleotide ribosomal RNA is filed under the name Ochotona princeps (American pika). The record is from RNAcentral. Lineage: Eukaryota; Metazoa; Chordata; Mammalia; Lagomorpha; Ochotonidae.
GUCUAUGGCCAUACCACCCUGAACGCGCCCAAUCUCAUCUGAUCUCGGAAGCUAAGCAGGGUUGGGCCUGGUUAGUACUUGGAUGGGAGAAUAUUUGAAAUAGGCAAGAUUUGUAUAGAAC